This 490-nucleotide ribosomal RNA is filed under the name uncultured bacterium. Its description in RNAcentral is "partial 16S ribosomal RNA". It matches the Rfam family "Bacterial small subunit ribosomal RNA", at positions 29 to 507 of the family's 1533-position model. The record is from RNAcentral.
AUUGAACGCUGGCGGCAUGCCUUACACAUGCAAGUCGAACGGCAUCGCGGGAAAGCUUGCUUUCCUGGCGGCGAGUGGCGAACGGGUGAGUAACACAUCGGAACGUACCGGCUAGUGGGGGAUAACCCGUCGAAAGACGGGCUAAUACCGCAUACGCUCUUCGGAGGAAAGCAGGGGACCUUUGGGCCUUGUGCUAGCCGAGCGGCCGAUGUCCGAUUAGCUAGUUGGUGGGGUAAAGGCCUACCAAGGCGACGAUCGGUAGCGGGUCUGAGAGGACGAUCCGCCACACUGGGACUGAGACACGGCCCAGACUCCUACGGGAGGCAGCAGUGGGGAAUCUUGGACAAUGGGGGCAACCCUGAUCCAGCAAUGCCGCGUGGGUGAAGAAGGCCUUCGGGUUGUAAAGCCCUUUCGGCAGGGAAGAAAUCGGCGGGGCGAAUAACCCUGCUGGAUGACGGUACCUGCAGAAGAAGCACCGGCUAACUACGUG